Molecule: small nuclear RNA, 190 nt
Organism: Suncus etruscus (white-toothed pygmy shrew)
Lineage: Eukaryota; Metazoa; Chordata; Mammalia; Eulipotyphla; Soricidae
Product: U2 spliceosomal RNA
Exons: 1
Source: RefSeq, a predicted model, not a curated record
AUCACUUCUCAGCCUUUUGGCUAAGACAAGUGUAGUAUCUGUUCUUAUCAGGUUAAUAUCUGAUACAUCAUCUAUCCAACAACAAUAUAUUAAAUGGAUUUUUGGCACAAGAAACUGGAAUAGGAGCUUGCUGCAUCCAUUCCACGCAUUGACCUGGUCAUGCAGUACCCCCAGGAUCGAUGUACAAAAA